Molecule: unclassified non-coding RNA, 964 nt
Filed under: Hevea brasiliensis (rubber tree)
Lineage: Eukaryota; Viridiplantae; Streptophyta; Magnoliopsida; Malpighiales; Euphorbiaceae
Source: RNAcentral
AUAUUGCAAAAAUCCGGAGGCAUGUCCGCUCGUCAAAAUGCUUACAGGACAAGAUGACUGCAAAGGAGAGUGCUAUUUGGUUGAGUGUCUUGAGUCGAGAAGAAUCCCUCAUUCAACAGCCUAGCAGUGAUAAUGGCACUUCUGGCAUAACUGAAAUGCCUCAAGGCGGGUGUCGUGGAAGGAAGCGACAUGACAUUAGUAGUGACAGUGAUUAUGAUGUUGAUGCUGCUGCUGAUGUUGCUGGUUGUGUUUCAUCAAAAGAUAACAGGAGCACUACAGCAAUGGUAGCGGAGCCAUUAAGCAUUGUUCGAAAUGACAAUCCCCAUGCUAUCCAAGAUAAAGAGCAAGGGGAAAGGCAACUGUCUAAAAAGCCUCGUGGAGAAUCUAGCAAUGCUGAUCAACAAUCUGGACCACUUCUUAAUAAGCAUUCAUUUGCUGAGGAGUGUGUGCCUGAUAUGAAUACUGCUGAUUUAUCAGCAAUGGAAUAUCAGAUGAAUGGCAGUGAACAGGAAAGUGAUACUACUACUAGUUUGAGGCCUUUGCAGAAACGUUUUGAAAGUGGACCCAAUCUACCCCCAUCUGAAUUUAUCUACUUUUCUGCCAUUCCCGCUGCCAAUGUUGAUUCUAUGGGGGGCAUGCAUGUGGAUGGAAGCUCCAUGCUUCUACGUGUCUUAAAAAAUUCAGAGUCGCAUCAUGGUGCUGCUUAUGAUAUCUAUAAUCCAACGGUUGACUAUGGGCCUGCGCAUGAUGCACAGCAGUCUCAAAUGACAUUGGAUGUAACUCAUAUCAGACCACAGGAUGAUGGAGGCAAUGUACCAGCACUACAUACGGAUGGUGAUGAGAUCAUCAGAGGAGAUUUUCAUAGACCUUUUGGGUCUCCACCUCCGCUACAUAGCUUGUCAUCAGAAUAUGGACCCCUCCCCAGUCCAUAUCAUUUUGAAAUUGAAGAAUUCUUACUUGAUGA